GCAGCAGAAUGAAGAUGCUUCAAACUGCUUCAUGUCCCUUUUGUGUUGAAUAAUUCCAAUAUUUGAAGCUGUAAUCAAGUGGAAUCCAAUGGCAAUUAGGUAGUUGUUUAAAUUUGUUGACAAAGACCAGGUAAAAGUGAGAUCCUUUGAAUGCACCUUGAUGAAGUCAGUUGCUUUCCAGUAUUUCUGCUGCUUUCCAGUAGUGCCAGUAGUCUCUGAGAACAUGAUGUGAAAACAGCCCAAAGCACAAGUUUCAUCCAGGAAAAGAAUGCCAUUCUUUGCAGAUACUGCAAGAUGACACAGGCAAAAUAUUUCCUAUCCCAGUUUCAGCACCAAGGAAUAGGAAUGCCUCAUGGCAGUGUCAAUUCAGCCAGAGAGCUGGACCCUGUACAAAUGUCCAGCUGGAUGAAAAAACCCUGAAAGAACAGUCUGCCAGAAAAAAACAACAGUCAAAACAGGAAGUAUUGGAACCUUACAGCAUUGAUAUUAGCCUAGAAUUUUCUCUAUUUUUAUGGGCCUCCAUAUGGCAGUGUUUGUUGAGGAGAAAGAAUUUAUAG
This 557-nucleotide long non-coding RNA is filed under the name Cyanistes caeruleus (blue tit). Its description in RNAcentral is "lncRNA (ENSCCEG00000009698.1)". Lineage: Eukaryota; Metazoa; Chordata; Aves; Passeriformes; Paridae. The record is from RNAcentral.